This is a long non-coding RNA of Pan troglodytes (chimpanzee), 1057 nucleotides long. RefSeq lists it as uncharacterized. Lineage: Eukaryota; Metazoa; Chordata; Mammalia; Primates; Hominidae. The transcript is spliced from 2 exons. The record is from RefSeq and is a predicted model, not a curated record.
GGCGGCGUGCGUGCGGAAGUGGAGACGGCGGCGGCGGUGGCUGGCGUCAGGCUGUGGACGAAGAGGCGGCCUCGGUGGGCUUUGCGACCGCAGUGUCUUCCUUCUGUCCCCGGUCGUGCGUCGUGCCCCCCAGCGCGGCUCACGUUUCGGAACACGUCUGCCUUUCAUGCCUCCCGAAGAGCCUCCCCGCAUCCCGUGCCCCCUGCUCGCUGCUGCCGCUGACCCUUGGGCGCUGCGCUGGUCCAGAGCGUGUUGUCCUCUGAAGCCGUCAGAACCUGAGCUCCCUGCGAGCUGGGACUCCGCCGUGUCUUCAUUGCCUCCGGUGCAAAGCAACUGCUUGCAAGAGAACAAAAGUGUGUUCAGGUGCACAGAGUAGAAAAUUCAAGGAGCCUGAAAGGGUAUUUGGUGAAGACUUGAUGUGUUUUUCCCAGUCCUAACCUCCAAGGCUCAGUUCUCCCCUGGGGCAGAGGGAAACCCGUUUCUUACGUGUCUACCAAGAAAGUCUAUGCAGGAACAUCUACGUGCGUUUCUGCAAAAGGUCAGUUACUUUAAUUGGGGCCCUUAUACUUAACGUAGCUCGGAGAGCGCCCCAUGCAUUCAGAUACAGGUGGGAUUCAUCCGGAAACGGAGUUUUAUAGCACCAGAAUUUAUCCCCUUUCCUGUAGAAAUUUAGGGUUUUUGCUGUCUUUUAUAACGAACAAUGCUAGCUUGAGUAUUCCUUGUACAAACCGUUUUUUGCCCAAGUCGGCCUAUUUUCUUAGGUUAAAUUCCUUGGUGCAGAAGUGCGAGGGCCCCUAAAGGGGUGGUACCAAAUUGCCCUCCCCCACCAGCAUAAGAGGGGGCCGGUGACACCCUUGCCCAAGCUGGAUUUGGCAGACCUGGUAGGCGUGAGAUAGUUUUCACUGUAGCGUUGUGUUUCCUGUAAGUAUCGUCGAACGUCGUAAUGUUACUGUUACAUCUAUGUUACGUUGAUCAUUGUUACCACUGACAGUCGUUUCGAGAUUGGAAAAUAUGUUUAUUAUAAACGUUUGACUAUUUAAAAGCCAUUUGUAUUUUA